Molecule: ribosomal RNA, 440 nt
Filed under: uncultured bacterium
Lineage: Bacteria
Description: partial 16S ribosomal RNA
Rfam family: Bacterial small subunit ribosomal RNA
Source: RNAcentral
CCUACGGGAGGCAGCAGUAGGGAAUAUUGGUCAAUGGUGGAAACCCUGAAGCAGCAACGCCGCGUGGAGGAUGAAGGUUUUAGGAUUGUAAUCUCCCUUUGUUAGAGAAGCUAAUGACGGUAUCCAACGACUAAGCACCGGCUAACUACGUGCCAGCAGCCGUGGUAAUACGGAGGGUGCCAGCGUUACUCGGAAUCACUGGGCGUAAAGAGUGCGUAGGCGGGGUAAUAAGUCAGAUGUGAAACCCUGUAGCUUAACUACAGAACUGCAUUUGAAACUGGUACUCUGGAGUGGGAGAGAGGUAGGUGGAAUGCGUGGUGUAGGGGUAAAAUCCAUAGAGAUCAAGAGGAAUACUCAUUGCGAAGGCGACCUGCCGGAACAUUACUGACGCUGAUGCACGAAAGCGUGGGGAGCGAACAGGAUUAGAUACCCUGGUAGUC